Long non-coding RNA from Ipomoea nil (Japanese morning glory), 86 nucleotides. RefSeq lists it as uncharacterized. The record is from RefSeq and is a predicted model, not a curated record. The transcript has 3 exons. NCBI's taxonomy places the organism in Eukaryota, Viridiplantae, Streptophyta, Magnoliopsida, Solanales, Convolvulaceae.
UUGCAAUUUGCUUGUGGUUCGUCCAGAGAUAAUCCCAUUUUCCUCCAUGAAAGGAGUCAAAGGAUGAAAUUUUUUCUUAAACUCUG